Oncorhynchus tshawytscha (Chinook salmon) is the source of this 449-nucleotide long non-coding RNA. The record is from Ensembl. NCBI's taxonomy places the organism in Eukaryota, Metazoa, Chordata, Actinopteri, Salmoniformes, Salmonidae.
AUUGUGGUGAAUGAUCCCAAAUAAACUACAAUAAGUCUGAAUAAAUAGAGAGGAAAUGGGAAGAAGGGGAUGGAGGAAGAAAGAGAGAUGGAGAAAGAGGAUGGAGAAAGAGAGGUGUAGAGAGAGAUGAAAGGUAUAGAGAGAGAGGUGUAGAAAGAGAGAUGAAAGAGAGGGAGAAAGGUGUAGAGAGAGAGGUGUAGAAAGAGAGAUGAAAGAGAGGGAGAAAGGUGUAGAGAGAGAGGUGUAGAGAGCGAGAUGAAAGAGAGGGAGAAAGGUGUAGAGAGAGGUGUAGAGAGAGAGGUGUAGAAAGAGAGAUGAAAGAGAGGGAGAAAGGUGUAAAGAGAGAGGUGUAGAGAGAGAGGUGUAGAGAGAGAGGUGUAGAGAGAGAGAUGAAAGAGAGGGAGAAAGGUGUAGAGAGAGGUGUAGAAAGAGAGAUGAAAGAGAAAGAG